UAGACGUCGUUUUUUUGAGAGAGAAACGUAAUAAAUUACUUGUUUCGAUUAUUUUAUUUAAAAAUAAAAUAAUUAUAAAAUAUGAAGUAAUUAGAUUUCGAACUCAAGAUCUUAAGUAUCAGCAAUUAAACUUUUUACCAUUUGCGCUAAAAACAGUCGAUCUAAAUAUUGCGCUAGCUAGGAAUGGUACGUCUAAAUAUUCAUUUUUGUUUCCAAA
This 217-nucleotide long non-coding RNA is filed under the name Ananas comosus (pineapple). RNAcentral describes it as "long non-coding RNA (ACOM_LNC027285)". Lineage: Eukaryota; Viridiplantae; Streptophyta; Magnoliopsida; Poales; Bromeliaceae. The record is from RNAcentral.